GCCGACUUAGCUCAGUGGUAGAGUGCUUCCUUGGUAAGGAAGAGGUCACGGGUUCAAAUCCCGUAGUUGGCU
RNAcentral lists this transfer RNA (72 nucleotides) under Flavobacterium sp. RNAcentral describes it as "tRNA-Thr". It matches the Rfam family "tRNA". Rfam says of the family: Transfer RNA (tRNA) molecules are approximately 80 nucleotides in length. Their secondary structure includes four short double-helical elements and three loops (D, anti-codon, and T loops). Further hydrogen bonds mediate the characteristic L-shaped molecular structure. tRNAs have two regions of fundamental functional importance: the anti-codon, which is responsible for specific mRNA codon recognition, and the 3' end, to which the tRNAs corresponding amino acid is attached (by aminoacyl-tRNA synthetases). tRNAs cope with the degeneracy of the genetic code in two manners: having more than one tRNA (with a specific anti-codon) for a particular amino acid; and 'wobble' base-pairing, i.e. permitting non-standard base-pairing at the 3rd anti-codon position. Lineage: Bacteria; Pseudomonadati; Bacteroidota; Flavobacteriia; Flavobacteriales; Flavobacteriaceae. RNAcentral also lists the same sequence under 4 other names. The record is from RNAcentral.